GCAACGAGCGCAACCCUCGACCUUAGUUGCCAGCAUUCAGUUGGGCACUCUAAGGUGGCUGCCGGCUAAAAGUCGGAGGAAGGUGGGGAUGACGUCAAAUCAUCAUGCCCCUUACUGACCUGGGCUACACACGUGCUACAAUGGGCGGUACAAAGGGUCGCGAACCGCGAGGGGGAGGCCAAUCCCAAAAAGCCGCUCUCAGUUCGGAUUGCAGGCUGCAACUCGCCUGCAUGAAGCCGGAAUCGCUAGUAAUCGCGGAUCAGCAUGCCGCGGUGAAUACGUUCCCGGGCCUU
Molecule: ribosomal RNA, 293 nt
Filed under: uncultured Anoxybacillus sp.
Lineage: Bacteria; Bacillati; Bacillota; Bacilli; Caryophanales; Anoxybacillaceae
Description: partial 16S ribosomal RNA
Rfam family: Bacterial small subunit ribosomal RNA
Source: RNAcentral